Non-coding RNA from Balaenoptera musculus (blue whale), 73 nucleotides. Lineage: Eukaryota; Metazoa; Chordata; Mammalia; Artiodactyla; Balaenopteridae. The record is from the annotation of a RefSeq genome assembly.
UCCCUGGUGGUCCAGUGGGUAAGACUCCGCACUUACAAUGCAGGGUGCCCAGGUUCAAUCCCUGGUUGGGGAA